CAGGCCUAACACAUGCAAGUCGAACGAUGCUUUCGGGCAUAGUGGCGCACGGGUGCGUAACGCGUGGGAAUCUGCCCCUUGGUUCGGAAUAACAGCUAGAAAUGGCUGCUAAUACCGGACGACGACGUAAGUCCAAAGAUUUAUCGCCGAGGGAUGAGCCCGCGUAGGAUUAGCUAGUUGGUGUGGUAAAGGCGCACCAAGGCGACGAUCCUUAGCUGGUCUGAGAGGAUGAUCAGCCACACUGGGACUGAGACACGGCCCAGACUCCUACGGGAGGCAGCAGUAGGGAAUAUUGGGCAAUGGGCGAGAGCCUGACCCAGCCAUGCCGCGUGCAGGAAGAAGGCUUUCUGAGUCGUAAACUGCUUUUGACAGGGAAGAAUAAGCGCUACGUGUAGUGUGAUGACGGUACCUGCCGCAUAAC
Molecule: ribosomal RNA, 421 nt
Filed under: uncultured bacterium
Lineage: Bacteria
Description: bacterial SSU rRNA
Rfam family: Bacterial small subunit ribosomal RNA
Source: RNAcentral